This 64-nucleotide transfer RNA is filed under the name Cavia porcellus (domestic guinea pig). It matches the Rfam family "tRNA", at positions 1 to 62 of the family's 71-position model. Rfam says of the family: Transfer RNA (tRNA) molecules are approximately 80 nucleotides in length. Their secondary structure includes four short double-helical elements and three loops (D, anti-codon, and T loops). Lineage: Eukaryota; Metazoa; Chordata; Mammalia; Rodentia; Caviidae. The record is from Rfam by way of RNAcentral.
GGGGAUUUAGCUCAGUGGCAUAAGCACCUGCCUUGCAAGCAGGAGGUUGUGAGUUUGAUCCCUG